RNAcentral lists this ribosomal RNA (482 nucleotides) under uncultured bacterium. Its description in RNAcentral is "partial 16S ribosomal RNA". It matches the Rfam family "Bacterial small subunit ribosomal RNA", at positions 28 to 523 of the family's 1533-position model. The record is from RNAcentral.
GACGAACGCUGGCGGCGUGCUUAACACAUGCAAGUCGGACGAUGAAGAAGAGCUUGCUCUUCGGAUUAGUGGCGAACGGGUGAGUAACACGUGACUAACCUGCCCCUUUCUCUGGGAUAACGCUCCGAAAGGAGUGCUAAUACCGGAUACUCACAUCGAGGCACAUGCCUUGAUGUGGAAAGUUUUUCGGAAAGGGAUGGAGUCUCGGCCUAUCAGCUUGUUGGUGAGGUAACGGCUCACCAAGGCGACGACGGGUAGCCGGCCUGAGAGGGCGAUCGGCCACACUGGGACUGAGACACGGCCCAGACUCCUACGGGAGGCAGCAGUGGGGAAUAUUGCACAAUGGGCGAAAGCCUGAUGCAGCGACGCCGCGUGAGGGAUGAAGGUCUUCGGAUUGUAAACCUCUUUCAGUAGGGACGAAGCGAAAGUGACGGUACCUAAAGAGGAAGCACCGGCUAACUACGUGCCAGCCGCCGCCGUAA